UCAGAAUUACAAAAAGACCCCGAAAGAGGGAGAGACAGCCUGUCUUUGCUCCUGACUGACAGAUUGCACUAGUUCAAAUCCAGGAGGAGACGAAAAGGAAAAGAAUAACAACAAAAAAAGACCAAAUGCGGAAAUUUCUGCCUGGCUCCCAUGAAGGUGUCAUUUCCAGUUUCACCCCAGAAAACUCAACUUCCGGUUCCACCUCCAAAGAAGUCGUAGCCCGAUGACCUCAUUUCCUGUCCUGAUCCCAAGAUCCCUCCUCUUCCUGCCGUUUAACUAUAAAUCCGUCAAGUUUCCUAACCUGUGAAGUUCUGUUUUUGGACUCUUGUUGGUAAAGACUAUUUUUCUCAACCUUCUUUCGCAUUUACAGCCAAUUCUCAAGUACACGGGAGGCUGCCUAAAACCUCUUUGUGUGUCAAAACCUGAUUAUUUACCACACCUAGCAGACACAAUUGUCCUAUGAGCUUCUGAGGGAUGAAGUUGUUGAAUGCUGAACUGAAGUUUAUGAACGGCAUUCUAGCACAAGUGUGUCUUUUGUCCAGAUGGAACAGGGCCAGAUGAAGAGCAGAUGAUAUGGAACGAUUUGGUCGAUAGGCAAAAUAGAGAAGGUCAUGUAAUCCUGGAAGUCUGACUUUCAUGUCGCCCAAGACUAGCCUCUUCAUGAUAACCACUGUGAGUGCUGUUACUGUAGAUGAUAGUUAUUGAUGCAAGACACAAUAGUUUUUUAGCACGAGUAUGAUGGUGGGAGCACUUGGGGAUAGCUGACUGCCUCAGGAAAAUAUUGAUGUCUGUAAAGAUGACUGUUGGCUGGCUUGCAAAUUCUCCGAGCACUCAGUCAGGUAUGUUGUCUGGUCCAGCAGCUUUGCCUGAGUUUACACUGAGCAAAGUUCUUCUCUUGUGAGCUAUAAACAAACAUAGCACCUUUUCCUCCUGGAAAUUGAUGGACUUUCUCAUAGGUAUUUCGUUCAGGUUACCAAACUGUGCAUAGAUGUUAUUUAGAACAUCUAGGAGGAAGGCAUCAUCAUUGCAGACAGGUAGUGUGACCUUAUAGUCUGUGAUGGUUUUGAUUCCCUGCCACAUCUGCUGUAUGUCUCUGGUGUCCUGAAAGUGGUUAUGAAAUUUUAUUUUAAUCCAAACUGAAGAUCAAAUAGUCAGGAACGAAUCUUGGGUAGAGUGCCAUGCAUUGCAGGGCUCACUUACAAAGGUACCCGACUCACCCUAGGCAAAUUCCAAAUCACAAGUUAAUUUGACAUUGUGGAGUAGCAGGUCCACGGCAGGGAAAUUAGUCGGCAACUUUAAAAUAAAUAAAUAAUUGAAUGGCUGGCUCGAUCUCUGUGGGUGUGUGAGCUCAUGUAGCGGUUGGAGGGGUGAGACACACCUGCUCAAUUUCUUCAUCGGCCUUCUGUGGUGUGCAUUUGAGGCUCGGCAUUCAUGGAGGUAUAUAAGGGGGAGCUGGCACAAGAAAAGAGAGAGAAAAAGAAUGGAAGUUAAAGGAAAGAGGGAGAAAGACAGGAGUGAGAGAGAGCCGGUGCAACAUGGGAGGAAGCAAGCAGUCAAGAUGGCGAUCCUUAGGAAGGAGCGUGUGGCUGGCAGUCAGGAUGGGACUGAGGGAUCACUCCUACCGAGUGACUAUGGAGCAGGAGCGACCAUGAUGCUCAGCACGUGCUCUCUUAUUGGGAUUUUUAACCUCCACAGACACUCACUUCUAUAAGAUUAUGGACUUUUGAGCACUGCAUUGUUUUGGACACUUUUGUUUUGUUGGAUUGUAAUAAAAGCUG
This is a long non-coding RNA of Polypterus senegalus (gray bichir), 1778 nucleotides long. RefSeq lists it as uncharacterized. The record is from RefSeq and is a predicted model, not a curated record. NCBI's taxonomy places the organism in Eukaryota, Metazoa, Chordata, Cladistia, Polypteriformes, Polypteridae. The transcript is spliced from 3 exons.